AUUGAACGCUGGCGGCAGGCCUAACACAUGCAAGUCGAACGGUAACAGGAAGCAGCUUGCUGUUUCGCUGACGAGUGGCGGACGGGUGAGUAAUGUCUGGGAAACUGCCUGAUGGAGGGGGAUAACUACUGGAAACGGUAGCUAAUACCGCAUAACGUCGCAAGACCAAAGAGGGGGACCUUCGGGCCUCUUGCCAUCGGAUGUGCCCAGAUGGGAUUAGCUAGUAGGUGGGGUAACGGCUCACCUAGGCGACGAUCCCUAGCUGGUCUGAGAGGAUGACCAGCCACACUGGAACUGAGACACGGUCCAGACUCCUACGGGAGGCAGCAGUGGGGAAUAUUGCACAAUGGGCGCAAGCCUGAUGCAGCCAUGCCGCGUGUAUGAAGAAGGCCUUCGGGUUGUAAAGUACUUUCAGCGGGGAGGAAGGGAGUAAAGUUAAUACCUUGGCUCAUUGACGUUACCCGCAGAAGAAGCACCGGCUAACUCCGUG
RNAcentral lists this ribosomal RNA (490 nucleotides) under uncultured bacterium. RNAcentral's name for it is "partial 16S ribosomal RNA". It matches the Rfam family "Bacterial small subunit ribosomal RNA", at positions 30 to 507 of the family's 1533-position model. The record is from RNAcentral.